RNAcentral lists this ribosomal RNA (497 nucleotides) under uncultured bacterium. RNAcentral describes it as "partial 16S ribosomal RNA". It matches the Rfam family "Bacterial small subunit ribosomal RNA", at positions 28 to 507 of the family's 1533-position model. The record is from RNAcentral.
GAUGAACGCUGGCGGCGUGCCUAAUACAUGCAAGUCGAGCGAACAGACGCUGCUCUUGCUCCUCUCACGUUUGCCGCGGACGGGUGUGUAACACGUGUAUAACCUCCCUAUAUGUCUGGGAUCACUUCGGGAAUCCGGCGCUAAUCCCGUAUAAUAUCUUGAUCCGCAUGGUUCUUUAGUGAAAGUCGGUUUUUCUGUCUCUUCUAGAUGCUUCCGCGCCGCAUUAGCUAGUUGGUAAGGUAACGGCUUAUCAAGGCAACGAUGCGUAGCCGACGGGAGAGGGUGAUCGGACACACGGGAAGUGAGACACGGACCAGAGUACUACGGGAGGCAGCAGAAGGGAAGGGGACGCAAUGGGCGAAAGCAUGACGGAGCAACGCCGAGUGAGAGAUGAAGGUCUUCGGAUCGGAAAACUCUGUUAUUAGGGAAGAACAAAUGUGUAAGGAACUAAGCACGGCGUGACGGUAACGAAUCAGAAAGCCACGGCUAACUACGUG